RNAcentral lists this long non-coding RNA (453 nucleotides) under Homo sapiens (human). RNAcentral describes it as "HSALNT0349431". Lineage: Eukaryota; Metazoa; Chordata; Mammalia; Primates; Hominidae. The record is from RNAcentral.
UUCUUCAAGGGGGAUACUGUUUCCCUUUCUGAGAAGAUAAUCAAUGACCCUCCAAGACUUGAGAGGAGUGACCUGAGUUUAGGAGAUAGUAGAACCCACCUAGAUCAUGGUCGUGCCAGCAAAUCCGUGUGAAUGCCACUGGAUUAAAAGAAGGAAGUUUAGUUGAAUGGUUACUACCCUCAUUCACAGGAGCAGUUAUCGGCACUUCCACUGAGGCAAUGGCAGUGGGAAAAGGAAGGCAAAUAUUUAUUCACCCAUCCAUAAACUCAUAAAAAUUGCCAACUUUACAGAGAAACUGUUUUUUCCGUUUUUGAAGAAAGCCUAGCUUGUCUACCUGGGAGCUCUUAUUCAAGCCUUCACUUAAGCUCUUGAAUCCUCCAACGAAGUGCUGCUCAAACCUUCUUGUCCCGAAUUACACUGUGUUCUUGGAUACACUUGCAUCCCACAUACAUU